AGAGGGUGACCAAUCACAAAGUAGAGAAAAGAGAGAAAGGAGAGACUUAAGGGAGUAGCCAACUGGACCCUUUCCUCUUAACCCGUUACACAGCGACUCGACACGUGUUCCGAUGACUUUUCCUGACGAUUUUCUAUCCAUUUUUUCGCUGAUUUACGGCCUUCCACCCCUACCAAACAACUCCUUGGCCUUCCUUCUUCCAUUUCCACCCAAAACCUAGUUCCUUUAACCCAUGAUUUGAGGAGAACGGAACAUGUGGGUUCCCAAGUGGUCAUGGUGAGAACCGCCAAUCCUGCAGGUUCCGACCACCACUACCAACACCAAACCACUCCUCUACAAGCCAGGAACAAACCCCAAAAAAGUUUGGGGGCGGCAGAGCAUCGGAAGAGACGAAUCAAUAAUCACCCAUUUUUAGGGUUCCGGCGAGAACGCGGGUCAAUCAGGGUGUUUUCUGAUCAAAUUGGACUUCGACUCAGGCGCGUUGACGGGAAGCGGCGUCAUCCUCUCUAGUUCGAGCAGUUCUCGAGCAAUAAAAUCUGAGUUAAAGCCGAGGUACAAAAUCCCGGCGUAAGGACACCUCCCUAAGGAAUAUUCAAUUCUUCUUUGGGGAUACAUAAUUGGCAAUCCAGCUACAAAUGUUAAAGGGGAUGUUAACUCGAGAAUCGAGUAUGCUCAUCGUAUGGCGCUUAUAUCAGAUAGAAUAUACGAGUCAACUACAAGGAAUUGCAGUGGCGAAUACGUAGAUGUAGAUCCAAACAAUCAACUAUGCCUCAACAGUCUUCAAGCUUUCCAGGAGGUACGUAUCACCAUGGUUGCAUAUCCAAAGAAUUAAAGUAUUCUGGGGGUCAUCUCAAAGUGUGGUUCGAUGAUUCAAGCUUUCAGAAUCUGUGUGAAAUUUUUUAAGAAAUCAGAAAUCGUUGAUCAUUUGAUUAUGCUUAUCAAGAUUUCAUUAUUGUUUGUCAAUAAAGGAUUGUUUUAUUUAUUCUCUCUUAGGUAUAUGACUAAAUAAUUUCAUAUUUAGUUCAUGUUUUUAUAACGAUAAUCUUCAAAGGAAAAUCUAAAAUGUGGACCGGAACUUGACACCCUAUAUACAUUCUUGAGUUUCAAUCUGAUCAUGUAAAGUGUCAAAUGUGUACACACACACACACACAAUCCUAACACCCUACAUGGUUUUGAUCUUCUAUUAUAUAAAGUCACUUGAUCAUUGAGUAUGCAGUGCACUGGAAGACUUGAUUCCGAACACAUAUUGGCACCUUUCUGCCCCAAGGCAAACGACUAUAACGAAUUAACAGUGUUAGAAAUGAACUGGAAUUGGAAGGCGGGUAUCUCACUCCCUGUUGAGGAUACUUUGAAAGAUUUCCCCUCUUCUCUGCAGUUGUGUCGGAUGUGUUGCAGGAAGAUAGGAUCCGCUACGCUGUUCUUUGGGCGAAUGAUAUAAACGUCCGUAAAGCUUUCAACAUUCGAGAGAUACACAAUUUACCAUUCAAAUAAAGAGUAUAAUUUGACAUAUGCGACCAUAAAGGCAUGUCCGAUAACAUCCGUACAUUAAUGUACUAAUUAAAAUCACAAACCAUUUCUGAUCUUAGAAUUGAUUCCAAGUUGCAAUUGUGCAGGGAGGAGGGCAUACAGCUCCAGAGUACAAUCCUAAGGAGUGUUUUGAUAUGUUCAAUAGGUGGCUAGGGCAUUCUCCUAUUUAAUCUGUUAUACCACACUAAGGCCUCGUUUGAUAGAGAUGAUUGAGUUAAGUAUGACUAUUACUGUGUAACUACAAGUACAUUUACUUAACCGUAACGUCUUUCAUAAUUUUGGUACAUUAUGUUUUCCCAUAUCAUAG
Malus domestica (apple) is the source of this 1834-nucleotide non-coding RNA. The record is from RefSeq and is a predicted model, not a curated record. NCBI's taxonomy places the organism in Eukaryota, Viridiplantae, Streptophyta, Magnoliopsida, Rosales, Rosaceae.